UCGAAACCUCUGCAAAAGCAGAACGACCCGUGAACUCGUGAUAACCCUUUCGGGGGGCGUGCUUUUGGGCCGCUCCCCUACGUCUUUGUGGGUGCGGGACUUGUCCCGUUCCCCGUGAGGGCGAACAAUAAACCCCCGGCGCGGAUUGUGCCAAGGAAAUAUAACGAGAGAGCAUGCUCUUGGGGCCCCUGACACGGUGUGCUCUGGGAUAUAAUGCCUUCUUUCACACUAUCUAUAACGACUCUCGGCAACGGAUAUCUCGGCUCUCGCAUCGAUGAAGAACGUAGCGAAAUGCGAUACUUGGUGUGAAUUGCAGAAUCCCGUGAACCAUCGAGUCUUUGAACGCAAGUUGCGCCCCAAGCCUUUAGGCCGAGGGCACGUCUGCUUGGGUGUCACUCAUCAUUGCCCCACCCCACCCCUGCCUCGGAGGCCUGGUGGUGCGGGCUGAUAAUGGCCUCCCGUGCGCUUCCAGCUCGCGGUUGGCCUAAAUUCGAGUCCUCGGCGACCAAAGCCGCGAUGAUCGGUGGUGCAAACAAACCUCUCGAGCACACGUCGCGUGCCAGGCUCUCCAUUACGGGACUGAAGGACCAUUUUGCUCCGUGCAAGCGGUGCUCACAUC
This 619-nucleotide ribosomal RNA is filed under the name Zanthoxylum rhoifolium. RNAcentral's name for it is "eukaryotic LSU rRNA". The stretch from base 240 to 395 matches the Rfam family "5.8S ribosomal RNA". The record is from RNAcentral. Lineage: Eukaryota; Viridiplantae; Streptophyta; Magnoliopsida; Sapindales; Rutaceae.